This is a long non-coding RNA of Egretta garzetta (little egret), 705 nucleotides long. RefSeq lists it as uncharacterized. The transcript has 4 exons. NCBI's taxonomy places the organism in Eukaryota, Metazoa, Chordata, Aves, Pelecaniformes, Ardeidae. The record is from RefSeq and is a predicted model, not a curated record.
CGGAAUUUCAGAAAACCAGACACAGCUUUUAGGAUGCCAAAUGAAGUCCUUAACUGGAUGCCCAAUUUGUCCCUGCAAGCUCCCUUUAAGAACUGAAAGGCCACAAUAAAGUCUCUCCGCAGCCUUCUGGUUUCUGGAUGCACAAUCAGGAGAACAGUACAUGCUGCACGGAGUAGCUUGCUCCUGAGAAUCUCCAAGCAUUGAUCUGAAUGCUGGGUAACUUCAGGUUUACAAGCCCCCCCACCCCUCAGCCCUUCCUUUGGAUCCCAGCAUUACGGACAUUGCAUGAAGCCCUGUUUUCUGUGCACUGGAGUGACCCAUUUGCCUCUGGGGAUGGGCAGCCGAUGACUUGAAUACAGCCCUGGUGGUGGAGACUGAGUUCUGAGCAAACGCCAGUGAAUGGGGAGGCAGAAGCAGGCACAGAUCAGCAAGUUGGGCCUGCAAGAUAGUGAAAGGAGUUAUGAAAUAUAGUGCUAUAAAAAUUCUUCUGUGGGGUUCUCAAACCAUUGGCAUGUCUCUGUUAUGGUUUAUGGCAUUUCUGGCAUGGUGGAGAAUGACAGCCCUGUCUUUCAGUGUUCAGGCUUAUUUAUUGUCCGUCAUUGCCUUUGAGCCAGCUGUUCCAGACAGCCUGUCCCAGAAAUUGGAACAACUGCUUUUCGUCAAAGCCAGCUGAGCUGCAUGAUCUGCAGGCAAACAGCAUUCUGG